Molecule: ribosomal RNA, 481 nt
Filed under: uncultured bacterium
Lineage: Bacteria
Description: partial 16S ribosomal RNA
Rfam family: Bacterial small subunit ribosomal RNA
Source: RNAcentral
GAUGAACGCUGGCGGCGUGCUUAACACAUGCAAGUCGAACGAAGCAUUUGCGACAGAUUUUUUCGGGAUGAAGUUGCUUAUGACUGAGUGGCGGACGGGUGAGUAACGCGUGGGUAACCUGCCUUGUACUGGGGGAUAGCAGCUGGAAACGGCUGGUAAUACCGCAUAAGCGCACAAUGUUGCAUGACAUGGUGUGAAAAACUCCGGUGGUAUAAGAUGGACCCGCGUCUGAUUAGCUAGUUGGUGAGAUAACAGCCCACCAAGGCGACGAUCAGUAGCCGACCUGAGAGGGUGACCGGCCACAUUGGGACUGAGACACGGCCCAGACUCCUACGGGAGGCAGCAGUGGGGAAUAUUGCACAAUGGAGGAAACUCUGAUGCAGCGACGCCGCGUGAGUGAAGAAGUAAUUCGUUAUGUAAAGCUCUAUCAGCAGGGAAGAUAGUGACGGUACCUGACUAAGAAGCUCCGGCUAAAUACGUG